This 306-nucleotide ribosomal RNA is filed under the name Triticum aestivum (bread wheat). Its description in RNAcentral is "partial small subunit ribosomal RNA". Lineage: Eukaryota; Viridiplantae; Streptophyta; Magnoliopsida; Poales; Poaceae. The record is from RNAcentral.
AUGGGCUGGCUGGCGGUGGUGGUGGGGCUGCUGGUUGCGUGGCCGCUUUUCGUGGGUGGCCACGGCGAGGCGGUCACCGAUGCCAUUGCCGAGCUGCUCGGCCCUGUGGGCCAGCUCCUCCUCCCUGUCGGGCUCCUCCUCUCCUCGGAUCACGGCCCUGGUGUGUUUGUGUUCGGCGGCUCGCCCGACACCGUGCUACACGUCGGGGGAUCCCCCAUCGGCAUGGUGGUCAUGUUGAUCCUCAUCCUCGCCCUUCUCUACUACCGGUCCGUGCUCUUCGGCGGUGGCAGAGACGACGACGAGUAA